This is a long non-coding RNA of Panicum virgatum (switchgrass), 1259 nucleotides long. RefSeq lists it as uncharacterized. The record is from RefSeq and is a predicted model, not a curated record. The transcript is spliced from 2 exons. NCBI's taxonomy places the organism in Eukaryota, Viridiplantae, Streptophyta, Magnoliopsida, Poales, Poaceae.
UCGCCCGUUAACCCGCUAGCCGUCGGAUCGAUCCGUCGCACAAUAACAACCAUCCGAUGCGGGUCCGAUCGGGCCUUCGCCCAUCAACCCGCAAACCCGGUCAUUGCGAAUCGUCGCGAAGCUGACCGAAUUUCUGCAGAUGUCGACGCCAUCCGCCACCCCGCCGGUCCCGUCCCUGCCGAGCGCCAUCCCCUCCCAUCCCUGGCCCGCCCAGGCCACGCUGCCGAGCGCGGGAGGCCCCGAUACUCCUCUUCCAACAUGCCCAGGGCUGGGCUACGCCUCCGCCACAGCCACCACUGGCACUGCCGCCCUUGUCCCCGCACUUGCCCAGGCCAGGCCACGCCACCACCGUGCUCGCCACGAGGUGCGCUGCAUAGGUCCCAGCCCCUACCAUCCCGGAGAACUGUUUUUUUGGUCGAGUGCCACCUCCGCAUCCGGCACACCUGCCGAGGCAUCUUCCACGGUGGGGCGCGUCGGAUCUAGUGGGAUCGGACGGGAGUUGUAACUCCCCAAAUAAGCACUGCACCCACAUCCCAGUCGCCGUCGCCGCGCUCCGUGGUUCGCCUGCAAUCGCACAACUUGAGACAACGACGAUGGAGGCGAAGCGCGAGACGAUGCCCAGUUCGAACCCGUGUAGGUGCCGUGGUCUACUGCAGCAGGCGGAGUCGUCAGUCUAACUGCGUUGUGUCAUGGUGACACGAACCCACCUGCUCGUCAGCAACUGGUGGCAGACCAUUUCCUCCCUUCCUCCAGCUGCAGCCACCGAGGCGAGUGCAACCUUGACACGAUGGCGACCGUGUUAUUACUAGGAUGAACGGGCGAAGGUUGGUAAGCAAGGUAGAGUCCAUUUUCUAAGAAAAAUGUUGCUUUGCAUCCGCACUAUAAUCUGCUAUGCUCACAACGUCACUACCGCUUCUGCUACUCUCGCCAAGUCACCAUGUCCAUCUUGAUGGCAUUUUGAUGAUCAGUGUCAACGGGAUUACCAUAUGAUGUGCAUUAAAUAUAAUGUUUGGUGAGGGCCAUAAAAAUGUUGCUUUGCUCUAAUAAAUCCUAAUCUGACAUCUAGAAAGCAAGCUCACACUUAUUCAAGUAGAUUUUAGUUAUAGGAGGUCCUGCAAUAAUACUGUACAAUUUUUGGUAAUUCUGAAGUUUACCACUCAGUUUCUUUAUUAACUCUGUCCUUUCUCCAAAUUUAUGACCAUUUUCAUCAGCACAUGACAGAUAUUUAAUGCAAUUAGAAAUUAGGAAGUUUUUUCAUA